CCUACGGGAGGCAGCAGUGAGGAAUAUUGGUCAAUGGACGGGAGUCUGAACCAGCCAAGUAGCGUGAAGGAGGACUGCCCUAUGGGUUGUAAACUUCUUUUAUAAAGGAAUAAAACGAGGCACGUGUGCCUUUUUGCAUGUACUUUAUGAAUAAGGAUCGGCUAACUCCGUGCCAGCAGCCGCGGUAAUACGGAGGAUCCGAGCGUUAUCCGGAUUUAUUGGGUUUAAAGGGAGCGUAGAUGGGUUGUUAAGUCAGUUGUGAAAGGUUGGGGCUCAACCGUAAAAUUGCAAUUGAUACUGGCAGUCUUGAGUACAGUUGAGGUAGGCGGAAUGCGUGGUGUAGCGGUGAAAUGCAUAGAUAUCACGAAGAACCCCGAUUGCGAAGGCAGCUUACUAACCUGUGACUGACAUUGAUGCACGAAAGUGUGGGUAUCAAACAGGAUUAGAUACCCCUGUAGUC
This 460-nucleotide ribosomal RNA is filed under the name uncultured bacterium. RNAcentral's name for it is "partial 16S ribosomal RNA". It matches the Rfam family "Bacterial small subunit ribosomal RNA", at positions 338 to 795 of the family's 1533-position model. The record is from RNAcentral.